RNAcentral lists this ribosomal RNA (908 nucleotides) under uncultured Thermotogales bacterium. RNAcentral's name for it is "bacterial SSU rRNA". It matches the Rfam family "Bacterial small subunit ribosomal RNA", at positions 1 to 918 of the family's 1533-position model. Lineage: Bacteria; Thermotogati; Thermotogota; Thermotogae; Thermotogales. The record is from RNAcentral.
UAGAGUUUGAUCCUGGCUCAGGGUGACGCGGGCGGCGUGCCUAACACAUGCAAGUCGUGCGGGUAUUCCUCCUUCACGGGAGGAUGCCAGCGGCGGACGGGUGAGUAACACGUGGGUAACCUACCCUCCGGAGGGGGAUAACAGGGGAAACCCUGGCUAAUACCCCAUGCGCUCCAUCGGCGCGAGCCGGUGGAGGAAAGGGCGUUUGCUCCGCCGGGGGAUGGGCCCGCGGCCCAUCAGGUAGUUGGUGGGGUAACGGCCACCAAGCCUACGACGGGUAGCCGGCCUGAGAGGGUGGUCGGCCACAGGGGCACUGAGAACGGGCCCCACUCCUACGGGAGGCAGCAGUGGGGGAUCUUGGACAAUGGGGGAAACCCUAUCCAGCGACGCCGCGUGCGGGAUGAAGCCCUUCGGGGUGUAAACCGCUGUGGCGGGGGAAAAUAAGGCGGGGAGGAAAUGCCCUGCCGAUGACGGUACCCCGCUAGAAAGCCCCGGCAACUACGUGCCAGCAGCCGCGGUAAUACGUAGGGGGCAAGCGUUACCCGGAUUUACUGGCGUAAAGGGGGUGUAGGUGGCUUGGUGUGUCGGGUGUGAAAUCCCACGGCUCAACCGUGGGCUGCGCCCGAAACUGCCAAGCUUGGGGGCGGUAGAGGGAGACGGAACUGCCGGUGUAGGGUGAAAUCCGUAGAUAUCGGCAGGAACGCCGGUGGGGAAGCCGGUCUCCUGGGCCGACCCGACGCUGAGGCCCGAAAGCCAGGGGAGCAAACCGGAUUAGAUACCCGGGUAGUCCUGCUGUAAACGAUGCCCACUAGGUGUGGGGGGUUAAUCCCUCCGUGCUGAAGCCAACGCUUAAGUGGGCCGCCUGGGGAGUACGCCCGCAAGGGUGAAACUCAAAUGAAUUGACGGGG